GGGCAAGCGUUAUCCGGAUUUACUGGGUGUAAAGGGAGCGUAGACGGUAGACCAAGUGCUGAAGUGAAAGCCCGGGGCUCAACCCCGGAACUGCUUUGGAAACUGGUAAACUAGAGUGCAGGAGAGGUAAGUGGAAUUCCUAGUGUAGCGGUGAAAUGCGUAGAUAUUAGGAGGAACACCAGUGGCGAAGGCGGCUUACUGGACUGUAACUGACGUUGAGGCUCGAAAGCGUGGGGAGCAAACAGGAUUAGAUACCCUGGUAGUCCACGCCGUAAACGAUGAUUACUAGGUGUCGGGAGUUAAACUCUUCGGUUCCGCAGCAAACGCCAUAAGUAAUCCACCUGGGGAGUACGUUCGCAGAAUUAAACUCAAAGGAAUUGACGGGACCCGCACAA
This 395-nucleotide ribosomal RNA is filed under the name uncultured bacterium. RNAcentral describes it as "bacterial SSU rRNA". It matches the Rfam family "Bacterial small subunit ribosomal RNA", at positions 532 to 928 of the family's 1533-position model. The record is from RNAcentral.